ACAUCGAUUUCCUAGUUAGAUAAGGUUAGGAGUCCUAACUAAUUAAGUCUUUUGAUCAGAUAAGGGCAUCCAAUCUAUUUAAGGAGGGGACCUAACUACAGAUUGGUUAUGCAAGAUUUUGUGCAAUAAAACAAAGAAGACCACCGUGAAGAAAAAUAAGGAGGAGUGGAUGCUGAUUUAUUUUUGGCGUGGAGACCCCUUAGGCAUCCUUCUUCUUGGUGUGACAUCUUGGGUGCUCCUAUUUUGGCAUGAAGACUCCCA
This 261-nucleotide long non-coding RNA is filed under the name Elaeis guineensis (African oil palm). Its description in RNAcentral is "long non-coding RNA (EGUI_LNC002282)". Lineage: Eukaryota; Viridiplantae; Streptophyta; Magnoliopsida; Arecales; Arecaceae. The record is from RNAcentral.